GACGAACGCUGGCGGCGUGCUUAACACAUGCAAGUCGAACGGAAAGGCCCUUCUUUUGUGGUGUGCUCGAGUGGCGAAAGGGUGAGUAACACGUGAGUAACCUGCCCUUGACUUUGGUAUAACUUCAGGAAACUUGGGCUAAUAACGGAUAUGAUCUCCUGCUGCAUGGUGGGGGUUGGAAAGUUUCGGCGGUUGGGGAUGGACUCGCGUCUUAUCAGCUUGUUGGUGGGGUAGUGGCUUACCAAGGCUUUGACGGGUAGCCGGCCUGAGAGGGUGACAGGCAACAUUGGGACGGAGAUAAGGCACAGACUCAUACGGGAGGCAGGAGAGGGGAAUAUUGCACAAUGGGCGGAAGCCAGAUGCAGCAACGCCGCGUGCGGGAUGACGGCAUUCGGGUUGGAAACCGAUUUCGCCUGUGAAGAAGAGUGAGUGACGGUAAUGGGUAAAGAAGCACCGGCUAACUACGUG
Molecule: ribosomal RNA, 468 nt
Filed under: uncultured bacterium
Lineage: Bacteria
Description: partial 16S ribosomal RNA
Rfam family: Bacterial small subunit ribosomal RNA
Source: RNAcentral